UUAGUGAGAAGCUUAGUUGUUCUUAAGACUCUGCUUAUUCCCCAGCCACAGUCAGCAUGGAUGCUGACUGAGUUGCAAACAGCCACGGAGGGCUGGUUUUGCAACGGUGGCGUACCAUUUCAGUACAUAAAUCAGAGUCCUUAGAGCACCUUGCUUCGAGCAAC
Molecule: regulatory RNA element, 164 nt
Organism: Firmicutes bacterium CAG:882
Lineage: Bacteria; Bacillati; Bacillota
Source: Rfam